UAGGAGAACAGAAUGAAACAAAACAAACCUCUCCGUAAUUAUUUUCUCACACAUUACGGAUCGGCCAUUAGUGUAGAGAAUUGAAUUGGAUUUUAGACUUCCGCAGAUGAGAUCCCUCGGCCUCACUCCGUCGAAGGAACACAGGCGUAAGUCUCGGCGAGGUCUGGCAUUGUUUUCCGAGAGAGAGAGAGCUUCAAUGGGGUACUACUGAGUCGAACUCGGAAUGGAACUCGGGAUUUGGAGUGAGUUGAAAAUAUGGAGAGAGGUUUCGGUCCAUUGAUCCAACUGCAAGGUACUUCGCAUCCGGGCCAAAUUUUACACACGUUGCUUUACCUAUGCCAGACAAAUUAGGGAAAGGUUUGAUACGAUUCCAUUCCGAUUUAACAUUGGCAACCUGAUUGUUGAUGUUAAGAAAAACAUAGAAGUCGUACAGGGUGCCGAUGUUUACCCUGCGUCUCAACAAAUGCUUAUUCAUCAAGGGAAAGUUCUCAAGGAUACGACUACUCUUGAAGAAAAUGCAGUUGCAGAGAACAGUUUUAUAGUCAUCAUGCUGACUAAGCUGUGUUUUUGAGACUGAGACAAAGGCAGCACCAAGCGGAGCCUCAAGUGCAUCAGGGGAGUCGUAUGCCAGGCCCAACCUGUUAGUGCGCCUACUCCAAUAUCAACAACACCGUCUACAACUUCUCAGAUUCCUGCCUCAGCUGCGGCACAGUGAGUGCUUUUUCCUUCCUUAAUUGAUAGUGUGACUAUUUACAUUUAAAAUCAGGUCCUUUUAAGGCAUUUGUACAUGAUAAGUUUAUAUAUACAAUUAUGGUAAUCUU
Cannabis sativa is the source of this 821-nucleotide long non-coding RNA. RefSeq lists it as uncharacterized. The record is from RefSeq and is a predicted model, not a curated record. The transcript has 4 exons. Lineage: Eukaryota; Viridiplantae; Streptophyta; Magnoliopsida; Rosales; Cannabaceae.